AUCAAGGGAGUAGCAGACGGUUUACCGUGGUUGUAUCGUCAUUACGGAAUUUCGAUUUCCGGUGCAAUCUGAAACAGCGAGACUUGUUUAAUCAAAUAAACAGGUUUUUUAUA
This is a non-coding RNA of Streptococcus iniae, 113 nucleotides long. Lineage: Bacteria; Bacillati; Bacillota; Bacilli; Lactobacillales; Streptococcaceae. The record is from Rfam.